AAGUGCUUCAAAUCACUGCUCCUGGAACACAUGCCCAGCUUGAGUGGAAAUGGGACAUGUGCUUUUGGGAUGUGCUGAGACUUCUGUAGGCCACUCCAGUGACCAGAUUGGACCACUUCAGAUACAAUGGCAACCAGGAACGUUACUCUCACAAUACUGAAGAAUGCAAAUGCAUUAUCUCAUGACCUCCAAGGAUAUGGACUCCAGACACUGCAGUGUGACAGCUAAACCAAGGAGCAUCGGAUGCGAUGGAAUUGCUCUACAAGCAACCUUGCCAAAGGCCCUUUUGCUGCACAAAGCUGGCUCUAUCUUUGUAUAUUGAGGGAGCUAAAUCAAUGUUAAAUGCUUGGCUCUUUUCACAGGACAAUGACCAGGACCUAAGCUUCGUCCUUCCUUUUUGAUUGACACUUGAAACGUUGAGUUGGAAUCAGCCAGAGGCACUGCUACAAGCUUGAAGCCUCUGCUGGGGAUAACAACUGGUGACAUCUGCAGAAAGGCCGACAAAAGGCAGUUGAAAGCCGUGUUUGUUGCUUUCCCCUCUCAGAUCUCCUCUCUUUCAUGGAGCUCCUUACUUGCUUUAAUAUUAUGAUUCAGCACCUGGCUCUUUUGAACCUUGCUUUAAACUUCAAAAGGCGAGGUGGUAUUAACAAACAUGAAACGAAAAAGUGGCAGUAGUUUGAUUUACUGUUGUCGUCUUAUCAAGGGGGUUUUUUGUCACCAGCUGCCACUUUCUGUCAUCUUUGGAACCAUUAUCAUUUCUCUAAAAUCUAAAAGACUCCACUUAAUAACAGCUUUGAAUACAGGCAGGAUCAGUAACCUAUACAGUUCUGGGAUGACAGAACCAUCAAAUGAAAAGCAAGAUGUUGCCAAAAAAAAAAAAAAAAAAAAUCCUUUUAAAAAAUAAAAAAAAACCCAAACAAAAAAACCAACCCAAAACCCAACAAUAAAACAAAUAAAAGCUGUAGUACUUCUAAGUGACCUUGAUUUCAGAAUUAAACAAAUCAAGCGCAAUUCCAUUGUUCUUUUUGGGUACGUUCUGCACUUUCCUUGCAACAUUUCUUUUUUGUUCUCAGGACUAAGGGAAAACAAAGCCAAGGCUUCCAGAAAAACUGCUCAGCACACAACAAGCACUUGGUAUCACAUGAGCACUGUAAGCUCCUCACUUGUAAAAGCGCCAGUGAUAAUUGCCAGUCUUGUUUCACUGCUGUCCUAAUGCAGCAGCUUUCAUUCAGCCCGAGAUGGAGCCCUGAAAGCUGCUUCGCCAGGGCAGACUCACUGGUAGCAAAUCUAUUUAACUCUCACUUUUACAGCACUUUUCCAUGUUUCUCAGCUGUCUUUCCCAGUUUCAGAACCUGAAAUACCCCUGCACCUUGUCAGGUGGGUUUGCCCAUCACUGCUUUCCAGGCUCAGUUAAAAGCAAUCAAAUAAAUGCAAACAAGUUUUUGACCACAAACCUACUGUGCUUUCUUACUUGUCACCUCACUGUCCUCUAUAGGAAACUCAUCUUUGCCCCUUUCAUUGGUUGUUUUAUAAUGGUAUACAUAAUGAACUUACUUGGAAGGAGAAAUACCUCCUGUUAUCUUCUAAACUCAUAACUCAUUUGAUGAACAUCUGUUUACCAGCACUCACCUUUAUCUUACAGAGAUUUGAACUUUAACUUGUGCUUCUGUGUGUUUU
Molecule: long non-coding RNA, 1677 nt
Organism: Neopsephotus bourkii (Bourke's parrot)
Lineage: Eukaryota; Metazoa; Chordata; Aves; Psittaciformes; Psittacidae
Exons: 3
Source: RefSeq, a predicted model, not a curated record